GGGCCUGUGGCUCAGUUGGUAGAGCGUUCGCUUAGCAGCUUCGCUGGGUUGUGUCUCGGCAGAGACGUCGCCCGGCUUAUGUCCUGCGAAAGGUCCUGGGUUCGAUUCCCAGCUCGUCCA
Non-coding RNA from Lasiosphaeria miniovina, 120 nucleotides. The record is from the annotation of a RefSeq genome assembly. NCBI's taxonomy places the organism in Eukaryota, Fungi, Ascomycota, Sordariomycetes, Sordariales, Lasiosphaeriaceae.